Molecule: ribosomal RNA, 255 nt
Filed under: uncultured bacterium
Lineage: Bacteria
Description: partial 16S ribosomal RNA
Rfam family: Bacterial small subunit ribosomal RNA
Source: RNAcentral
GCGCACGGGUGAGUAACACGUAGGUGACCUACCUUUUGGCGGGGGAUAACCCUUGGAAACGAGGGCUAAUACCGCGUAAGAUCAACAAAUUUGAAAGUAGUUGAUGAAAAAUUGCCUCUAUACUAUGCAAUCACCGAAAGAUGGGCCUGCGAGACAUUAGCUUGUUGGUGGGGUAAUGGCCUACCAAGGCUACGAUGUCUAGCGGAUCUGAGAGGAUGAUCCGCCACACUGGAACUGAGACACGGUCCAGACUCC